This 491-nucleotide ribosomal RNA is filed under the name uncultured bacterium. Its description in RNAcentral is "partial 16S ribosomal RNA". It matches the Rfam family "Bacterial small subunit ribosomal RNA", at positions 29 to 506 of the family's 1533-position model. The record is from RNAcentral.
AGUGAACGCUGGCGGUAGGCCUAACACAUGCAAGUCGAACGGCAGCACAGUAAGAGCUUGCUCUUACGGGUGGCGAGUGGCGGACGGGUGAGGAAUACAUCGGAAUCUACUUUUUCGUGGGGGAUAACGUAGGGAAACUUACGCUAAUACCGCAUACGACCUACGGGUGAAAGCAGGGGAUCUUCGGACCUUGCGCGAUUGAAUUAGCCGAUGUCGGAUUAGCUAGUGGGCGGGGUAAAGGCCCACCAAGGCGACGAUCCGUUGCUGGUCUGAGAGGAUGAUCGGCACAACUGAAACUGAGACACGGUCCAGACUCCAACGGGAGGCAGCAGUGGGAAAUAUUGGACAAUGGGCGCAAGCCUGAUCCAGCCAGACCGCGUGGUGAAAGAAGGCCUUCGGGUUGUAAAGCCCUUUUGUUGGGAAAGAAAAGCAGCAGGUUAAUACCCCGCUGUUCUGACGGUACCCAAAGAAUAAGCACCGGCUAACUUCGU